This 99-nucleotide signal recognition particle RNA is filed under the name Sideroxydans lithotrophicus ES-1. Its description in RNAcentral is "Bacterial small signal recognition particle RNA". It matches the Rfam family "Bacterial small signal recognition particle RNA". From Rfam's summary of the family: The signal recognition particle (SRP) is a universally conserved ribonucleoprotein involved in the co-translational targeting of proteins to membranes. Archaeal SRP consists of a 7S RNA and homologues of the eukaryotic SRP19 and SRP54 proteins. Lineage: Bacteria; Pseudomonadati; Pseudomonadota; Betaproteobacteria; Nitrosomonadales; Gallionellaceae. RNAcentral also lists the same sequence under 6 other names. The record is from Rfam by way of RNAcentral.
GGCGGGUCUCCCCGCAUUGCACUUUGGUGAACCUGGUCAGGUCCGGAAGGAAGCAGCCACAGCCAAGCGGUGCAAGUGCCGGGGGUAAGGCUCGCCUCC